CUGACCUAACCUCAGAUACUCAGAUAUGCUUUGAUUAUCAACUUGAGAGUUCAGAAAAUAAAAUUAAUUUUCUUCAUUUGAAAUCCCUAAUUAAACUAUCAAAAUAAAUUUGUUUUAAAUACCGCAUAAUUUUGCAUUUUUUAUGAUAUAAAAAUGAUAUGUUACAAGUUUAUUGUUAAACUUGUCAGGUAAAAUGAUGUAUCGAAAACAACAGCUAAACAAUAUCAUUUUACACCUAGGUGUUUUCAUAAUUGGAUUUAUUGAUGGGUCAAUUCAGGAAUAUAAACACUAUUCAUUAGGAAACCCAAAGCUGUGUUCGCCAUUGAGUCAAAAGAAAGUUAAAUACGAAGCAGUUAUAGUUGAUGAAGGACAGUUCAUUAAUCAGCAUAGGCUUUUAUGGAACGUAGAUAAUAGUUGUAGUUUUGAAGUUGAGUCCAUUUAUUCUAAUGGUGGUGUUAUCGCAGUAAUACAGAACAUAAACUUACGAAAAAAUGAAAGUAAUGGAGAAUGUAUUGAUUACAUUCAGAUUCGCGUUCAAAAUAAAUUUACUCGACGAUUUUGUGGAAACUUUAAUGCAACUUCUGUGAUGAACCAAAAUGAAAAUGGUGAAAUUAGUAGUAUCAAUUCUGCAAUGAAUAAAAAUGGUGAAUUAGAUGUUACUAUAUUUAUUGAUAAAGAACCACUGGCUUAUAAUACUAGAACUGAAUUUAGUGUGGUAUUUACAUCUUUUAAAGAAUGUUCAUAUUUGAAUUAUAAACAUUACAAAUUGGAACAGUGUAAUGAACGAGAAGAAGUAUGUAUUAAAACUCAUUUUUUCAUGGAUGGAUUAAUUAAUUGCCCUUAUUAUGGAUGCACCGAUGAAGGAAAAUGCUUGCUGUCUUCCAAUAUUGAGUCCAAAGGGUCAGUGGGAGAUAGAGUACUUAUAGGUUCCCUUUCUACAUUAGCACUCUUAUUUGCUCUUUUCUGUUUACUUAUAUGGGCCUUUAAAAAACAUAAAUUAUUCUGUUGGAGAGAGGAUUUUGCUCAUCCAACUCCCAUAUCUGAUAAUAAUCGUAGUUCAUGUGUAAUGGAAAUGCAUGAACCUACUGGGAUAAGGCUGGCAGAACCAGCACUUCCACCUACACAACCUUCUGCACCUGUUGACCAAGGAAAAGAUUUACCUCCAUCAUAUGAUAGUUUAUUUCCUAACUCAACUAAUGAAUAAUUGAUCUUAUUAUUUAGAUUACCUUUUAGAGUUUAGUCUAUAUUUAAUUGAUAUAAAAGUUUAUAUUUUUUCUUGCCAUGUUUGUAGUUUUAUAAAAGGUUUUUAAUUUCGGUACUGCCAUUGUCAGCAUUAUCUGGACCUUUGAAUAAAAAUAUUAAGGAAGGAGUAUAAUGCUAUUCAUGUAUUCAUGCAUGGUCUAAAGAUGCAUGGUAGAUGGAAUCAACAUCAUAGGUCCCCAUCCUCGACUUAUUCUUUUUGAGGUUUCAAUUGAAACAUUUGAAUUUGAUUUGAAAUUUCGUGUAUUUGUCUUUACUGAGCUUAUUUUAUGUUAUUUAUUAUUUAUUCUGCAAUGGAUUUUGAUUAGAGGUAGUAAAUUUAAAAGGAAAUUGUAUCAGAACUCGCAGUGACAAUAUGUAAUAUAAUUUGCCGAAAAGACUAAAGUAGUUGCAUAGCGUACGGUAUAUCUCGAUCAAAUGUCAAGAUAAAUAAUGGAGUAACUUUUCACUUGGAAAUGACUAUAUAAUAUACGUACCAUAUGAUCAAAAAAAGUGUCAGCGAUGACUUUUCAUAUUGACAUGACAAUUAAUGACAUUUUCUAUAUAAUUUUACAUAUUAAAUGACAGCGAUCUUCAUUUUAUAGCCAUCGCUGCCGCCGUUUGUUUUUCGAUCAUGUUGUAUAUAUAUACGAGCCCUAACAAUUAAA
This 1907-nucleotide unclassified non-coding RNA is filed under the name Sitophilus oryzae (rice weevil). RNAcentral describes it as "uncharacterized LOC115884123, transcript variant X1". Lineage: Eukaryota; Metazoa; Arthropoda; Insecta; Coleoptera; Curculionidae. The record is from RNAcentral.